UACAUGACUGAAAGCCAUGAGCCUCUCCUGU
RNAcentral lists this non-coding RNA (31 nucleotides) under Mus musculus (house mouse). Lineage: Eukaryota; Metazoa; Chordata; Mammalia; Rodentia; Muridae. The record is from RNAcentral.